Molecule: ribosomal RNA, 307 nt
Filed under: Pseudoalteromonas sp. FRA000014
Lineage: Bacteria; Pseudomonadati; Pseudomonadota; Gammaproteobacteria; Alteromonadales; Pseudoalteromonadaceae
Description: partial 16S rRNA
Rfam family: Bacterial small subunit ribosomal RNA
Source: RNAcentral
AACGCUGGCGGCAGGCCUAACACAUGCAAGUCGAGCGGUAACAGAGAGUAGCUUGCUACUUUGCUGACGAGCGGCGGACGGGUGAGUAAUGCUUGGGAACAUGCCUUGAGGUGGGGGACAACANUUGGAAACGACUGCUAAUACCGCNUAAUGUCUACGGACCANAGGGGGCUUCGGCUCUCGCCUUUAGAUUGGCCCAAGUGGGAUUAGCUNNUUGGUGAGGUAAUGGCUCACCAAGGCGACGAUCCCUANCUGGUUUGAGAGGAUGAUCANCCACACUGGGACUGAGACACGGCCCAGACUCCUA